Long non-coding RNA from Herpailurus yagouaroundi (jaguarundi), 184 nucleotides. RefSeq lists it as uncharacterized. The record is from RefSeq and is a predicted model, not a curated record. NCBI's taxonomy places the organism in Eukaryota, Metazoa, Chordata, Mammalia, Carnivora, Felidae. The transcript has 3 exons.
UCCCCCCCUUCCUCCCUCUCCCUCCCUAACCCCACACCUUCAGACCUCCUCCUCCCCUCCACCCGCGGCUGCCGGAGCCCCCAUACUCAGGUUAUACUUCAUGCAGAGUAGUAGAAGAAGAGAGGACGAGACCUCGUCGCUAAAAGCAUCCUAUGAGGAAACGAAGGUUAAAAAAGUUUGCACA